AGGCCAGGUCGAAAGACGUAACCGAUGGACAACAGGUUGAAAUUCCUGUACCUUAAGUAAACAGAACUGUGGGGACACGUGUGGAGAGCACAAGCCGGAAAUGGAAAAGCCGGUGCAAGCGAGGUAGGAGAUGAACAGGCAAAUCCGUUCAUCAAUCCGAAGACGUGAUGCGGACCGAAUUAAGAGUAGGGAAGUGUGUGAGCCAUGCGUCAAGAAAAGCCGCUAUUGUUUUACUUAAGCCCGUACCGUAAACCGACACAGGUGGAUGAGGAGAGAAUCCUAAGGCCGACGGGAGAAGCAUUGUUAAGGAACUCGGCAAAAUGACUCCGUAACUUCGGGAGAAGGAGUGCCAGCGAGAGCUGGCCGCAGAGAAUUGGCCCAAGCAACUGUUUAGCAAAAACACAGGUCUAUGCAAAACCGUAAGGUGAAGUAUAUGGGCUGACGCCUGCCCGGUGCUGGAAGGUUAAGAGGAGAGGUUAGCGGUAACGCGAAGCUUUGAAUUUAAGCCCCAGUAAACGGCGGCCGUAACAAUAACGGUCCUAAGGUAGCGAAAUUCCUUGUCGGGUAAGUUCCGACCCGCACGAAAGGCGUAAUGAUUUGGGCACUGUCUCAACAAUGCACCCGGUGAAAUUGAAAUACCAGUGAAGAUGCUGGUUACCUGCGCCAGGACGGAAAGACCCCAUGGAGCUUUACUCCAGCUUGAUACUGGGAUUCGGUAUUGCAUGUACAGGAUAGGUGGGAGGCUAGGAAGUGAUAACGCCAGUUGUCACGGAGCCGCUGUUGGGAUACCACCCUUGCAGUAUUGGAUUUCUAACCAGCGACCAUGAACUGGUCGGGGGACAAUGUCAGGUGGGGAGUUUGACUGGGGCGGUUGCCUCCGAAAGGGUAUCGGAGGCGCUCAAAGGUUCCCUCAGAAUGGACGGAAACCAUUCGAAGAGUGCAAAGGCAGAAGGGAGCUUGACUGCGACACCGACGGGUGGAGCAGGUACGAAAGUAGGACUUAGUGAUCCGGUGGUAUAAAGUGGGAUUGCCAUCGCUCAACGGAUAAAAGCUACCCUGGGAUAACAGGCUUAUCACUCCCAAGAGUUCACAUCGACGGAGUGGUUUGGCACCUCGAUGUCGGCUCAUCGCAUCCUGGGGCUGAAGUAGGUCCCAAGGGUUGGGCUGUUCGCCCAUUAAAGCGGUACGCGAGCUGGGUUCAGAACGUCGUGAGACAGUUCGGUCCCUAUCCGGCGUGGGCGUAGGAUAUUUGAGAGGAGCUGUCCUUAGUACGAGAGGACCGGGAUGGACUGGCCGCUGGUGUAUCUGUUGCAUACCAAAUGCAUGGCAGAGUAGCCAAGCCGGGACGGGAUAAACGCUGAAGGCAUCUAAGCGUGAAGCCCCCCUCAAGAUGAGAUAUCCCUACGUAAGUAGUAAGACCCCUUGAAGACGACGAGGUAGAUAGGUCAGAGGUGGAAGUACAGUAAUGUAUGGAGCUGACUGAUACUAAUCGGUCGAGGGCAUGACCG
Molecule: ribosomal RNA, 1508 nt
Filed under: metagenome
Description: bacterial LSU rRNA
Rfam family: Bacterial large subunit ribosomal RNA
Source: RNAcentral